UCCGUGAUAGCUCAGUUGGUAGAGCACCGCACUGUUAAUGCGUAGGUCCCUGGUUCGAGUCCAGGUCACGGAGCCA
Molecule: transfer RNA, 76 nt
Filed under: compost metagenome
Description: tRNA-Asn
Rfam family: tRNA
About the family: Transfer RNA (tRNA) molecules are approximately 80 nucleotides in length.
Source: RNAcentral